RNAcentral lists this ribosomal RNA (450 nucleotides) under uncultured bacterium. RNAcentral describes it as "bacterial SSU rRNA". It matches the Rfam family "Bacterial small subunit ribosomal RNA", at positions 354 to 796 of the family's 1533-position model. The record is from RNAcentral.
GUGGGGAAUAUUGGACAAUGGGCGAAAGCCUGAUCCAGCCAUGCCGCGUGUGUGAAGAAGGUCUUCGGAUUGUAAAGCACUUUAAGUUGAGAGGAAGGGCAGUAAGUUAAUACCUUGCUGUUUUGACGUUACCAACAGAAUAAGCACCGGCUAACUUCGUGCCAGCAGCCGCGGUAAUACGAAGGGUGCAAGCGUUAAUCGGAAUUACUGGGCGUAAAGCGCGCGUAGGUGGUUUUGUAAGUUGGAGGUGAAAUCCCCGGGCUCAACCUGGGAACUGCCUCCAAAACUGCAUGACUAGAGUACGGUAGAGGGUAGUGGAAUUUCCUGUGUAGCGGUGAAAUGCGUAGAUAUAGGAAGGAACACCAGUGGCGAAGGCGACUACCUGGACUGAUACUGACACUGAGGUGCGAAAGCAUGGGGAGCAAACAGGAUUAGAAACCCUUGUAGUCC